GGGUAUUAUUUUUUCUCUGUUGACUGCUAAUGUUUCAAUGGAGUUGGGUUUCUCAAGAAGUGGUUGUCAGUGGGAUACUGGAGUAGUAUUUGGGGGAUUCCUGAUAACUUUUCUGAUAUUAUUUUAUUUUAUCCUUUUGUUCUUUUCCAAAAGUUCUCUCUCUUUCAGAAUUUCCCAAAAAUCUAGCGUUAUUCCUCUUCUUUCUGCUCUCUGCCACUUUUUCCUCCUUCUUCUUCUUGUCACUAUUUUUAUUUCUAUUUUCUAUUUGCUGUCAAAUUUAUGUAUCCCAUUAUUUUAGUGCUUUUUGUUCGUUACUGG
This 318-nucleotide long non-coding RNA is filed under the name Gossypium barbadense (sea-island cotton). RNAcentral describes it as "long non-coding RNA (GBAR_LNC011481)". The record is from RNAcentral. Lineage: Eukaryota; Viridiplantae; Streptophyta; Magnoliopsida; Malvales; Malvaceae.